RNAcentral lists this ribosomal RNA (466 nucleotides) under uncultured bacterium. RNAcentral's name for it is "bacterial SSU rRNA". It matches the Rfam family "Bacterial small subunit ribosomal RNA", at positions 926 to 1391 of the family's 1533-position model. The record is from RNAcentral.
CAAGCGGUGGAGCAUGUGGUUCAAUUCGACGCAACGCGAAGAACCUUACCUGGGCUCGAACGGCUUAAGACCAUCUUUGGAAACAGAGACUUCCCGCAAGGGACUUGAGUCGAGGUGCUGCAUGGCUGUCGUCAGCUCGUGUCGUGAGAUGUUGGGUUAAAUCCCGCAACGAGCGCAACCCUUGUCCUGUGUUGCCACUCCGUAAGGAAGCACUCGCAGGAGACCGCCAGGGAUAACCUGGAGGAAGGUGGGGAUGAUGUCAAGUCAUCAUGGCCUUUAUGUCCAGGGCUGCACACGUGCUACAAUGGACGGUACAAAGCGCUGCGAACCCGCGAGGGGAAGCUAAUCGCAAAAAACCGUUCUCAGUUCGGAUCGCAGGCUGCAACUCGCCUGCGUGAAGCUGGAAUCGCUAGUAAUGCCGUAUCAGAAUGAUGGCGUGAAUACGUUCCCGGGCCUUGUACACACC